RNAcentral lists this ribosomal RNA (253 nucleotides) under uncultured bacterium. RNAcentral's name for it is "partial 16S ribosomal RNA". It matches the Rfam family "Bacterial small subunit ribosomal RNA", at positions 524 to 776 of the family's 1533-position model. The record is from RNAcentral.
UACGGGGGGGGCAAGCGUUGUUCGGAAUUACUGGGCGUAAAGGGCUCGUAGGUGGCCAACUAAGUCAUACGUGAAAUCCCUCGGCUUAACCCGGGAACUGCGUCCGAUACUGGCAGGCUUGAAUCCGGGAGAGGGAUGUGGAAUUCCAGGUGUAGCGGUGAAAUGCGUAGAUAUCUGGAGGAACACCGGUGGCGAAGGCGGCAUCCUGGACCGGUAUUGACGCUGAUGCGCGAAAGCCAGGGGAGCAAACGGG